AGAAACCUCAGAAAGAAGAAAAAGACCUAUAGAAUAGAAAUAUCAACAUAAUUCAUUGAAGGAUGUAGUGGAACCUUUGUAAGCACCAAGUACUCUGCUGCGGCUCCAGACAAAAGGAGCCCUUCUGCCUGACCUGAGAUCAUUGCUGCAGAGCGCGUCUCCUUGAGAACCAGCUUGGAGGAAACAGAGCUGCCACCCGCAAGUCCAGAGACAAACCCCUCUGAGGUCCACCAAAACACGUUCUCCUACAACCGCUGCCCGACCUCCAUUGAUUAUUGAUGUUCAUGACAGGGGAGAUGUCAUCGAUGGGCAAUGAUCAAGAACCCACCAGAGAAGCAGACUGUGCUGCUGCUCAUGCUUCUCUUCCUCUUCAACUUGCGGUAUUGUUGUUGUGUCAAAAGACGACAAGCACAAAGAGACGAGAGGGCGUCACUUCUGGCUCUCAAACGUUCAGCUGCUGCUGUGAAUGUGGAAUGUUUUUUCAUUUAGUUUAAUUUAAUUUAACAAUGUAAUGUUUUGGGGGAAAUGAAACAUGUGGUGUUGUACUUCAUCAUCUACUUGUACAAAUCCGCAAAUAGAUAUUUAAACUGCAAAACUACCCACAAUAUUACCCACAAUAAGUAAAUAAAUAAAAUUAAACCCAAAGGCAGUGGUACUAAGUAUGAAAAGGAAAGUGUGCUCAACAUUGGCAUUUUUUUGUAAAUAGGAGAAUAAUCCACUGGCAUGUGAAGGCCGAACUACUGCAUACAACUGUACACAGAACUAUGCAGGCCAGCAGUCUCUUAGUAUUUUGGGAAAGAUAAAAUAACUGAAAUAUAUAUUUGUAUACAUCUUAUAUACCUCUAGAAGACUAAAAAAACAUAAUAGGCCAGUUUGCAGUGCCUGAACAUAAAGGUCUAAGAAUUGUCCAAUUAUUUCACAUAACACCACAAAUUAACGCGCUGUGUAAUAUUAUUGAUCUUUUCUAGCAUUCCUGUUAUGUUUUUGUGUUUAUUAACCGAAAAUAUUUGUUGUCUCUUCUCUCAUCUUUUUCUGCUUCUAGCUCUGCCGCCAAAAGCUCUUUCUACCAAUCCAGAAUUGAAUCUUCAUUUUCUAACCCUAAAAAACUCUUUUUGAUUUUCUCCAACCUCCUCGAACCCCCUAGCCCUCGUCCCCCCUCCACCCUUCUUCCGGUUGACUUUGUCAACUACUUUACCAAGAAAAUAGCUGACAUACGCUCCUCUUUCUCAAACCCACCUACUACUACUUGCGUCCCACUGACUUCACCUCAAUCACCCUCACUUUCCUCUUCCACCCCCCUGUCUCCUAACCAAAAUCUUACCCAAGUAACCUCUGCCCAUUCUCUGAAGGAGGCAAGAGUUAACCCUCUCCUGAAGAAACCUACCCUCACCCUUCUGAAGAAAACAACUACAGACCGGUCUCUCUUUUUGUCCAAAACCCUUGAACGUGCAAUCUUUAACCAACUCUCCUCCUAUCUCCACCAUAACAACCUCCUUGACCCCCACCAGUCAGGCAUCAAGGCAGGCCAAUCCACAGAGACUGCUCUCCUUGCUGUCUCAGAGCAACUCCACACUGCUAGAGCCGCCUCUCUCUCCCCUCGGUCCUCAUCCUUCUGGAACUCUCUGCUGCAUCUUUGACCUUAGUCUCCGUCUUGGAAGGGCUCCUACACUCUGGAAGACAUCAUGCCUUGUCCCUGUCCCCAAGAAGCCCCACCCAACUGAACUCAACGACUUCCGCCCGGUAGCCCUCACGUCACACAUAAUGAAAACCAUGGAGAGACUGCUAGUGCACAUACUCAGACCUCAUGUACGACACGCAUUGGACCCACUGCAGUUCGCAUACCAGGAGAAGGUAGGAGUGGACGAUGCGAUCACAUACCUGCUGCAUAGGACGCAUACUCACCUGGACAAGGGAGAAAGUGCUGUGAGAAUCAUGUUAUUUGAUUUCUCCAGUGCUUUCAAUACCAUCCAACCCCUCAGACUAGGAGACAAGCUCAUGCAGAUGGCCGUGGACGAUCCCCUCGUAUCAUGGAAUACCAACUACCUGACAGGGUGGCCACAGUUUGUCAGACUGAAGGACUGCCUGUCUGACACUGUGGUCUGCAGCACCGGAGCACCACAGGGAACUGUGCUCUCUCCUGCUCUGUUCACCCUGUACACUUCUGACUUCUGUUACAAUACAGAGUUUUGCCACAUGCAGAAGUUUUCAGACGACACUGCAAUUGUGGGGUGUAUCAGGGAUGGCCAGGGAGGGGAGUAUGUGAGCCUGGUGGAGGACUUUGUGCAAUGGUGCAAGCACAACCACUUACAACUGAACACUGCUAAGACCAAGGAAAUGGGGUGUUAUUUUCGCAGGUCUAAGCCCACCAUGCUACCAGUUUCCAUUGUGGGGGUCAAUGUGGAGGUGGUAGGCACAUACAAGUAUCUUGGGGUGAUUCUGGACAAUAAACUGGAUUGGUCUGUCAACACUGACAGCGCUCGCUGCCAUGUUGGCCCUUUGCACAACCCCCCCCCUUUUUUU
This is a long non-coding RNA of Gasterosteus aculeatus aculeatus (three-spined stickleback), 2520 nucleotides long. The record is from Ensembl. Lineage: Eukaryota; Metazoa; Chordata; Actinopteri; Perciformes; Gasterosteidae.